GACGAACGCUGGCGGCGUGCUUAACACAUGCAAGUCGAACGGAAAGGCCCUGCUUUUGUGGGGUGCUCGAGUGGCGAACGGGUGAGUAACACGUGAGUAACCUGCCCUUGACUUUGGGAUAACUUCAGGAAACUGGGCUAAUACCGGAUAGGAGCUCCUGCUGCCUGGUGGGGGUUGGAAAGUUUCGGCGGUUGGGGCUGGACUCGCGGCUUAUCGGCUUGUUGGUGGGGUAGUGGCUUACCAAGGCUUUGACGGGUAGCCGGCCUGAGAGGGUAACCGGCCACAUUGGGACUGAGAUACGGCCCAGACUCGUACGGGAGGCAGCAGUGGGGAAUAUUGCACAAUGGGCGGAAGCCUGAUGCAGCAACGCCGCGUGCGGGAUGACGGCCUUCGGGUUGUAAACCGCUUUCGCCUGUGACGAAGCGUGAGUGACGGUAAUGGGUAAAGAAGCACCGGCUAACUACGUG
This 467-nucleotide ribosomal RNA is filed under the name uncultured bacterium. RNAcentral describes it as "partial 16S ribosomal RNA". It matches the Rfam family "Bacterial small subunit ribosomal RNA", at positions 28 to 507 of the family's 1533-position model. The record is from RNAcentral.